GUAGCUCAGUUGGAUAGAGCAUCGGCCUUCUAAGCCGAGGGUCGGGGGUUCGAACCCCUCC
This 61-nucleotide transfer RNA is filed under the name uncultured Limnobacter sp. It matches the Rfam family "tRNA", at positions 7 to 64 of the family's 71-position model. Rfam says of the family: Transfer RNA (tRNA) molecules are approximately 80 nucleotides in length. Their secondary structure includes four short double-helical elements and three loops (D, anti-codon, and T loops). The record is from RNAcentral. Lineage: Bacteria; Pseudomonadati; Pseudomonadota; Betaproteobacteria; Burkholderiales; Burkholderiaceae.